Molecule: unclassified non-coding RNA, 328 nt
Filed under: soil metagenome
Description: partial contains 5.8S ribosomal RNA, internal transcribed spacer 2, and large subunit ribosomal RNA
Rfam family: 5.8S ribosomal RNA (bases 1-119)
Source: RNAcentral
GAUGAAGAACGUAGCGAAAUGCGAUAAGUAAUGCGAAUUGCAGAAUCCGUGAGUCAUCGAAUCUUUGAACGCACAUUGCGCCCUCUGGUAUUCCGGAGGGCAUGCCUGUUCGAGCGUCAUUAUCACCCCUCAAGCCCGGCUUGUUGUUGGGGCCUGCUGCACUGGCAGCCCUUAAAAUCAGUGGCGGCGCCAUCUGGCUCUAAGCGUAGUAAUUCUUCUCGCUAUGGAGUCCUGGUGGAUGCUUGCCAUCAACCCCCAAUUUUUCUAUGGUUGACCUCGGAUCAGGUAGGGAUACCCGCUGAACUUAAGCAUAUCAAUAAGCGGAGGA